CGGGACGGGUGAGUAAUGUCUAGGGAAACUGCCGAUGGAGGGGGAUAACUACUGGAAACGGUAGCUAAUACCGCAUAACGUCGCAAGACCAAAGAGGGGACCUUCGGGCCUCUUGCCAUCGGAUGUGCCCAGAUGGGAUUAGCUAGUAGGUGGGGUAACGGCUCACCUAGGCGACGAUCCCUAGCUGGUCUGAGAGGAUGACCAGCCACACUGGAACUGAGACACGGUCCAG
Molecule: ribosomal RNA, 232 nt
Filed under: uncultured bacterium
Lineage: Bacteria
Description: partial 16S ribosomal RNA
Rfam family: Bacterial small subunit ribosomal RNA
Source: RNAcentral